UACAGAGGCCCCGAGCGUUAUCCGGAAUUAUUGGGCGUAAAGGGUGUGUAGGUGGCGUCAUUAGUCGUUUUUGAAAGUCCGGGGCUCAACCUCGGGAACGGGGACGAAACGGUGAUGCUUGAGUUUGUGAGAGGUAAGCGGAACUCUCUGUGUAGGGGUGAAAUCCGUUGAUAUAGAGGGGAACACCAAAAGCGAAGGCAGCUUACUGGCACAAUACUGACACUGAAACACGAAAGCGUGGGUAGCGAAUGGG
Molecule: ribosomal RNA, 253 nt
Filed under: uncultured bacterium
Lineage: Bacteria
Description: partial 16S ribosomal RNA
Rfam family: Bacterial small subunit ribosomal RNA
Source: RNAcentral